GAUUCACAGUGGAAAUCAGGGCAGGUGGUUUCUCCUCAAGCAUGGUUCGUUCAUGGUCUACUAGCUUUUCGAACAAGUCAGAGAAGGAGAUCGGGUUGUCUCUCAUCUUCACCGCGGCUGUUACCUGCUUGUAGUCAUAUCCCAGAUCGGUUAUGACGUGAACGAUUAGGUCAUCGUCAUCAACAGGUUUCUGUGCAAAGGGUAGCUCGUCAGCGAUUGCUUUCAUUUCACGAAGAUAAUCUGCAACAGGUUUGCUUCCUUUGGUGGUUGUUGCGAGUUUGGAAUGGAGUGAAAUAAUACGGGAUCGAGACACUUCGGCGAAGCUUUCGGUGAGACGUUUGAAUAGCUCGAGCGAGGUGUCAGCAGAGGAUACGACGGGUAAAAUGGUGGCUGAGCAACUGCCGAGCAGAGCUCCCAGAAGAAUCUGGUCUUGCCGGAACCAUAGCCGGUAGGUGGGAUUGGUUUUUCCGUUAAGGGUUUUCGGUGGAGGUUCGGUUCGGCCGUCUUCAAAUUGUUCCAGUUCGAGACCACAGGACCUGUUUUCGCCAGGCCGUAAAAUUGUCGGAGGUGAGUUGGAUUGGAAAAUGGGUAUGGGUAGAAAGGGUAGUCACAGAAGUGGCCAUGGCUAAUCGGAAGUUAGGAGGUGUGGAUCGGAGACGAACUCGGAGGAGCCUUUGUUAGGGCUCUGAUACCAUAUGUGAUAUAAAGCUUUAGUAGAAAAGGUUGUGUUUACAUUGAUACAGAACAUGCCUUUAUAUAGGCCUUUACAAGAUGGAGCAAAAGCAUAAUUACAGGAAGCAUAAUUACAGGAGAAGAUCAAGCAUACGCAUCAGAAAAUGGAGGAAUGUCGGAGGAGGUUAUACGCCAAGUGUUUUUGAAAACCGAUGAAGAAUUUCUGGUGUCAGUCGAAAGGGAAUGGGAAAACAAUCCGAAAAUAGCCUCUGUUGGCUCAUGUUGUUUGGCUGGAGUCAUAUGCAAUUGAAUGUUGUACGUUGCAAAUGCUGGAGACUGAGGGCGGUACUGGGGAAGCUAGUUGAUAAAACUGAAAACGAAUCCAUGCCUGUCCGACUUUCACAGGAUCAUAAAACAAAAGUAAACAAGAUGAUUUCAGCAUUUGCAGUUCACAACAAUCAAUUGCAUACGACUCCAGCCAAACAACAUGAGCCGAACGAGGCUAUUUCUGGAUUAUUUACCAUUUACUUCCAACCAACAUUGCUAUAUGUUGAAGAAACCUUUGUAUAUCGAACGUAUCACAGAAGAAUGGAGUCAUGUUUACGUGAAACUCCAAGGUUUAUGAAUGAAAAAAAAAAUAUCAAAAGCAGCCUAGAAGAUUAUGCUAUGAUUUGGUAUAUAUAUAAGGAUAAGGAUUAUAUUCCUAUAUACACUCGAUCAUAACAUAUUUGUUUGAUAUUUGAAUUCAAAUGUUGACACUAGUUUAAAUUUAA
Long non-coding RNA from Helianthus annuus (common sunflower), 1445 nucleotides. RefSeq lists it as uncharacterized. Lineage: Eukaryota; Viridiplantae; Streptophyta; Magnoliopsida; Asterales; Asteraceae. The transcript has 2 exons. The record is from RefSeq and is a predicted model, not a curated record.